UACGUAGGUGGCAAGCGUUAUCCGGAUUUACUGGGUGUAAAGGGCGUGUAGGCGGGAAAGCAAGUCAGAUGUGAAAACCACGGGCUCAACCUGUGGCCUGUAUUUGAAACUGUUUUUCUUGAGUACUGGAGAGGCAGACGGAAUUCCUCGUGUAGCGGUGAAACGCGUAGAUAUGAGGAGGAACACCAGUGGCGAAGGCGGUCUGCUGGACAGCAACUGACGCUGAGGCGCGAAAGCGUGGGGAGCAAACAGG
RNAcentral lists this ribosomal RNA (253 nucleotides) under uncultured bacterium. Its description in RNAcentral is "partial 16S ribosomal RNA". It matches the Rfam family "Bacterial small subunit ribosomal RNA", at positions 524 to 776 of the family's 1533-position model. The record is from RNAcentral.